RNAcentral lists this ribosomal RNA (253 nucleotides) under Bacteroides uniformis. Its description in RNAcentral is "partial 16S ribosomal RNA". It matches the Rfam family "Bacterial small subunit ribosomal RNA", at positions 524 to 776 of the family's 1533-position model. Lineage: Bacteria; Pseudomonadati; Bacteroidota; Bacteroidia; Bacteroidales; Bacteroidaceae. The record is from RNAcentral.
UACGGAGGAUCCGAGCGUUAUCCGGAUUUAUUGGGUUUAAAGGGAGCGUAGGCGGAUGCUUAAGUCAGUUGUGAAAGUUUGCGGCUCAACCGUAAAAUUGCAGUUGAUACUGGGUGUCUUGAGUGCAGUAUAGGCAGGCGGAAUUCGUGGUGUAGCGGUGAAAUGCUUAGAUAUCACGAAGAACUCCGAUUGCGAAGGCAGCUUGCUGGACUGUAACUGACGCUGAUGCUCGAAAGUGUGGGUAUCAAACAGG